GAUGAACGCUGGCGGCGUGCCUAAUACAUGCAAGUCGAGCGAACGGACGAGAAGCUUGCUUUUCUGAUGUUAGCGGCGGACGGGUGAGUAACACGUGGAUAACCUACCUAUAAGACUGGGAUAACUUCGGGAAACCGGAGCUAAUAUCGGAUAAUAUUUUGAACUGCAUGGUUCAAAAGUGAAAGACGGUCUUGCUGUCACUUAUAGAUGGAUCCGCGCUGCAUUAGCUAGUUGGUAAGGUAACGGCUUACCAAGGCAACGAUGCAUAGCCGACCUGAGAGGGUGAUCGGCCACACUGGAACUGAGACACGGUCCAGACUCCUACGGGAGGCAGCAGUAGGGAAUCUUCCGCAAUGGGCGAAAGCCUGACGGAGCAACGCCGCGUGAGUGAUGAAGGUCUUCGGAUCGUAAAACUCUGUUAUUAGGGAAGAACAUAUGUGUAAGUAACUGUGCACAUCUUGACGGUACCUAAUCAGAAAGCCACGGCUAACUACGUG
Molecule: ribosomal RNA, 497 nt
Filed under: uncultured bacterium
Lineage: Bacteria
Description: partial 16S ribosomal RNA
Rfam family: Bacterial small subunit ribosomal RNA
Source: RNAcentral